RNAcentral lists this ribosomal RNA (594 nucleotides) under uncultured Bacteroidota bacterium. RNAcentral describes it as "bacterial SSU rRNA". It matches the Rfam family "Bacterial small subunit ribosomal RNA", at positions 122 to 715 of the family's 1533-position model. Lineage: Bacteria; Pseudomonadati; Bacteroidota. The record is from RNAcentral.
CAACCUACCUAUCAGAGGGGAAUAACCCGGCGAAAGUCGGACUAAUACCGCAUAAAACAGGGGCACCGCAUGGUGAUAUUUGUUAAAGAAAUUCGCUGAUAGAUGGGCACGCGUUCCAUUAGGUAGUUGGUGAGGUAACGGCUCACCAAGCCGACGAUGGAUAGGGGAACUGAGAGGUUGGUCCCCCACACUGGUACUGAGACACGGACCAGACUCCUACGGGAGGCAGCAGUGAGGAAUAUUGGUCAAUGGGCGAGAGCCUGAACCAGCCAAGUCGCGUGAAGGAAGAAGGAUCUAUGGUUCGUAAACUUCUUUUGCAGGGGAAUAAAGUGCGGGACGUGUCCUGUUUUGUAUGUACCCUGAGAAUAAGGAUCGGCUAACUCCGUGCCAGCAGCCGCGGUAAUACGGAGGAUCCGAGCGUUAUCCGGAUUUAUUGGGUUUAAAGGGUGCGUAGGUGGUUUGAUAAUUCAGCGGUGAAAGUUUGCAGCUUAACUGUAAAAAUGCCGUUGAAACUGUAAGACUUGAGUGUAAAUGAGGUAGGCGGAAUGCGUGUGUAGCGGUGAAAUGCAUAGAUAUCACGAAGAACUCCGAUUG